Long non-coding RNA from Epinephelus fuscoguttatus (brown-marbled grouper), 229 nucleotides. RefSeq lists it as uncharacterized. The transcript is spliced from 3 exons. Lineage: Eukaryota; Metazoa; Chordata; Actinopteri; Perciformes; Serranidae. The record is from RefSeq and is a predicted model, not a curated record.
GUUUUGGUAUGCAGAUACACAGACGCAGGUCCUGAUAAGACUCCCCUGUGCAUCCCUCUGUGACAAGUAGAAGAUGUCCAGCAGAAUAAUGCAGAAUCUCAGCCUCCCCUCUAAAAGUGAAGGCGUGGAAAUGAAAGCUGGGCACUUUGGAGAGGAUGGCUGGAAGAAAUGAAGACGUGUCUGAUUUCCACAGCAACCAAUGGUGAUGCAGCGCUCCGCACUCUCUGCC